Molecule: ribosomal RNA, 486 nt
Filed under: uncultured bacterium
Lineage: Bacteria
Description: partial 16S ribosomal RNA
Rfam family: Bacterial small subunit ribosomal RNA
Source: RNAcentral
AUUGAACGCUGGCGGCAUGCCUUACACAUGCAAGUCGAACGGCAGCACGGGUGCUUGCACCUGGUGGCGAGUGGCGAACGGGUGAGUAAUACAUCGGAACAUGUCCUGUAGUGGGGGAUAGCCCGGCGAAAGCCGGAUUAAUACCGCAUACGAUCUACGGAUGAAAGCGGGGGACCGUCGGGCCUCGCGCUAUAGGGUUGGCCGAUGGCUGAUUAGCUAGUUGGUGGGGUAAAGGCCUACCAAGGCGACGAUCAGUAGAUGGUCUGAGAGGACGACCAGCCACACUGGGACUGAGACACGGCCCAGACCCCUACGGGAGGCAGCAGUGGGGAAUUUUGGACAAUGGGCGAAAGCCUGAUCCAGCAAUGCCGCGUGUGUGAAGAAGGCCUUCGGGUUGUAAAGCACUUUUGUCCGGAAAGAAAUCCUUGGCUCUAAUACAGUCGGGGGAUGACGGUACCGGAAGAAUAAGCACCGGCUAACUACGUG